AACGUACGCUGGCGGCACGCCUAACACAUGCAAGUCGAACGAAGUAGCAAUACUUAGUGGCAGACGGGUGAGUAACAUGUGGGUAUCUACCCUUUGGCCUGGAAUAACACGAGGAAACUUGUGCUAAUACCGGAUAAGUCUUUGCGGAGAAAGCUUUAUGCUCCAUUGGAGGAGCCCGCACUUGAUUACUUUGUUGGUAGGGUAAUGGCCUACCAAGGGUAUGAUCAAUAGCUGAUUUGAGAGGAUGAUCACCCACACUGGGGGUGAGACACGGCCCAAACUCUUACGGGAGGCAGCAGUGGGGAAUCUUGCACAAUGGAGGAAACUCUGAUGCAGCGAUGCCGCGUGAGUGAAGAAGGCCUGUGGGUUGUAAAGCUCUUUCGUCGGGGAAGAAAAUGACUGUACCCGAAUAAGAAGGUCCGGCUAACUUCGUGCCAGCAGCCGCGGUAAUACGAAGGGACCUAGCGUAGUUCGGAAUUACUGGGCUUAAAGAGUUCGUAGGUGGUUGAAAAAGUUGGAGGUGAAAUCCCAGAGCUCAACUCUGGAACUGCCAUCAAAACUUUUCAGCUAGAGUAUGAUAGAGGAAAGCAGAAUUUCUAGUGUAGAGGUGAAAUUCGUAGAUAUUAGAAAGAAUACCAAUUGCGAAGGCAGCUUUCUGGAUCAUUACUGACACUGAG
Molecule: ribosomal RNA, 677 nt
Filed under: bacterium IMCC7683
Lineage: Bacteria
Description: bacterial SSU rRNA
Rfam family: Bacterial small subunit ribosomal RNA
Source: RNAcentral